This 251-nucleotide ribosomal RNA is filed under the name uncultured prokaryote. Its description in RNAcentral is "partial 16S rRNA". It matches the Rfam family "Bacterial small subunit ribosomal RNA", at positions 525 to 775 of the family's 1533-position model. The record is from RNAcentral.
ACGUAGGGGGCAAGCGUUGUCCGGAAUGAUUGGGCGUAAAGGGCGCGUAGGCGGCCUGGUAAGUCUGGAGUGAAAGUCCUGCUUUUAAGGUGGGAAUUGCUUUGGAUACUGUCGGGCUUGAGUGCAGGAGAGGUAAGUGGAAUUCCCGGUGUAGCGGUGAAACGCGGCGGGAACGGGCGGGGAGGCGGUGGGGUAGGCGAAGUACGGGGGAGUAGCUGCCGGGGAGGCGGCAGAGUGUCGAGAGCAUACAG